RNAcentral lists this ribosomal RNA (340 nucleotides) under Nematoda environmental sample. Its description in RNAcentral is "SSU rRNA". It matches the Rfam family "Eukaryotic small subunit ribosomal RNA", at positions 1300 to 1665 of the family's 1831-position model. Lineage: Eukaryota; Metazoa; Nematoda. The record is from RNAcentral.
GGUGGAGCGAUUUGUCUGGUUUAUUCCGAUAACGAGCGAGACUCUAGCCUACUAAAUAGUGACCGGAUAGCUUCGUCCGGGUCACUUCUUAGAGGGACAAGCGGUGUUCAGCCGCAAUAAGUUGAGCAAUAACAGGUCUGUGAUGCCCUUAGAUGUCCGGGGCUGCACGCGCGCUACACUGGAGGAAUCAGCGUGCUUGACCCAUUGCCGAAAGGCAUUGGUAAACCCUUGAAAAUCCUCCGUGAUCGGGAUCGGGAAUUGCAAUUAUUUCCCUUGAACGAGGAAUUCCCAGUAAGUGUGAGUCAUCAGCUCACGUUGAAUACGUCCCUGCCCUUUGUAC